This 17-nucleotide ribosomal RNA is filed under the name Fusarium neocosmosporiellum. Its description in RNAcentral is "partial 18S ribosomal RNA". The record is from RNAcentral. Lineage: Eukaryota; Fungi; Ascomycota; Sordariomycetes; Hypocreales; Nectriaceae.
UGCGGAGGGAUCAUUAG